Molecule: ribosomal RNA, 468 nt
Filed under: uncultured bacterium
Lineage: Bacteria
Description: partial 16S ribosomal RNA
Rfam family: Bacterial small subunit ribosomal RNA
Source: RNAcentral
GACGAACGCUGGCGGCGUGCUUAACACAUGCAAGUCGAACGGAAAGGCCCUGCUUUUGUGGGGUGCUCGAGUGGCGAACGGGUGAGUAACACGUGAGUAACCUGCCCUUGACUUUGGGAUAACUUCAGGAAACUGGGGCUAAUACCGGAUAGGAGCUCCUGCUGCAUGGUGGGGGUUGGAAAGUUUCGGCGGUUGGGGAUGGACUCGCGGCUUAUCAGCUUGUUGGUGGGGUAGUGGCUUACCAAGGCUUUGACGGGUAGCCGGCCUGAGAGGGUGACCGGCCACAUUGGGACUGAGAUACGGCCCAGGCUCCUACGGGGGGCAGCAGUGGGGAAUAUUGCAAAAUGGGCGGAAGCCUGAUGCAGCAACGCCGCGUGCGGGAUGACGGCCUUCGGGUUGUAAACCGCUUUCGCCUGUGACGAAGCGUGAGUGACGGUAAUGGGUAAAGAAGCACCGGCUAACUACGUG